This 328-nucleotide unclassified non-coding RNA is filed under the name soil metagenome. RNAcentral's name for it is "partial contains 5.8S ribosomal RNA, internal transcribed spacer 2, and large subunit ribosomal RNA". The stretch from base 3 to 119 matches the Rfam family "5.8S ribosomal RNA", at positions 38 to 154 of the family's 154-position model. The record is from RNAcentral.
GAGAAGAACGCAGCGAAAUGCGAUAAGUAAUGUGAAUUGCAGAAUUCAGUGAAUCAUCGAAUCUUUGAACGCACAUUGCGCCCCUUGGUAUUCCGAGGGGCAUGCCUGUUCGAGCGUCAUUAUAACCCCUCAAGCUCAGCUUGGUGUUGGGGCCUGCUGCACUGGCAGCCCUUAAAAUCAGUGGCGGCGCCAUCCGGCUCUAAGCGUAGUAAUUCUUCUCGCUAUGGAGUCCUGGUGGAUGCUUGCCAUCAACCCCCAAUUUUUCUAUGGUUGACCUCGGAUCAGGUAGGGAUACCCGCUGAACUUAAGCAUAUCAAUAAGCGGAGGA